Molecule: long non-coding RNA, 359 nt
Organism: Salmo salar (Atlantic salmon)
Lineage: Eukaryota; Metazoa; Chordata; Actinopteri; Salmoniformes; Salmonidae
Source: RefSeq, a predicted model, not a curated record
CAAGGCACAUUGUAAGAGCUGUAAAGAGAGAGGGACUCGGAGAGAGAACAGGUAGAACCUGAUAUGUAAAUGAGCAGAGCAAACGAAAGCAACUUUCGACGACCGAAUGAUCAUUCAGACUCUGUUUCUAUUGAGAGAUAAAAGGCUGGUUGAAUGAGUUGGCUGUGAAAGCUACUUCAUCUGCAAGAAAACAGGCGGCUGCACCAGUGACUGUCAGAAGUUUUGUGAUUUCCUCAUAUGAACGUGAAAGGGUCAGUGCUCUAAAAUGAGUCUCUCUGGGGAGAGAAAGGAGGGGGGCCCUGCCUCUAAAAUGAGUCUCUCUGGGGAGAGGAAGGAGGGGGGCCCUGCCUCUAAAAUGA